GCGCUCGUUUACACCGGUUUAUCGUCAGUUUUGUAUCUGGAGGCUUAUAUUGCAGAUAUAUAAUUGCGAUCGAACAUGACGAGUAUCGAGGAAAGACGGAAUUAUUUCAUCUCUGUAAUCACUAAUAACCAUAAUAAUAUGUUACGACAACAUAUUAAUACGAUGUUCUAUAAGCCUCAAUAUAUCAUCUCGACUAUCGUGGGGGUGUUGCAGCUACGUAUAUAUAAGCAUCUGGGUGGUUUGCUCGUGCGAUAUUCGGCGACUCAUUUCCGCGAUGAGAAAUUAAACAUGACGCGUGUGAGCAGCUCUGCUCUUUGAACUUUCUGCAGUACGGAUGCAAAAGUUUGCUGUCUCGCAUAUACAAAAGCAGGAGCUUUAUAACAAAUCCACCACCAUGCCUUGAUUGCUCCUUGUAGCAUCGAGAUGUUUCCAACCUUGGUUACGAUGCCACAAACCACGUGCAAACUAACUGUUUAGAUGUGAAAUUAUAUAAUCCUAAUAAACUAUUGCCACGCAUC
This is a long non-coding RNA of Formica exsecta, 518 nucleotides long. RefSeq lists it as uncharacterized. The record is from RefSeq and is a predicted model, not a curated record. NCBI's taxonomy places the organism in Eukaryota, Metazoa, Arthropoda, Insecta, Hymenoptera, Formicidae. The transcript has 3 exons.